Small nucleolar RNA from Sorex araneus (European shrew), 66 nucleotides. Its record names the gene SNORD58. It matches the Rfam family "Small nucleolar RNA SNORD58". From Rfam's summary of the family: snoRNA U58 is found in introns 1, 3 and 6 of the ribosomal protein RPL17 gene in humans. U58 is a member of the C/D class of snoRNA which contain C (UGAUGA) and D (CUGA) box motifs. The record is from Ensembl. Lineage: Eukaryota; Metazoa; Chordata; Mammalia; Eulipotyphla; Soricidae.
CUGUGAUGGUGCCAUUUCUUAGGACACUUUUGGAUUCAUCAUGCAAACAACAACGCUCUGGUCAGC